AAGUCGUAACAAGGUUUCCGUAGGUGAACCUGCGGAAGGAUCAUUAAAAGUAAUAAGUGCUCCCGGCGCAUAUUAUGUAACCCAUCUGUGUAUCUUACCUGUUGCUUCCGUGGGUCGUUGGCUUCGGCCACUCCCCAAAUGCGGGGAACUCACGGGAGGUCUACAUCAAACCAUUGCUCUCAAUGAUAUCUGUCUGAAUUGUCUCAAUGAGAAAAGUUAAAACUUUCAACAACGGAUCUCUUGGUUCUC
This 249-nucleotide unclassified non-coding RNA is filed under the name Sphaerosporella sp. RNAcentral's name for it is "partial internal transcribed spacer region". The stretch from base 1 to 46 matches the Rfam family "Eukaryotic small subunit ribosomal RNA", at positions 1786 to 1831 of the family's 1831-position model. The record is from RNAcentral. Lineage: Eukaryota; Fungi; Ascomycota; Pezizomycetes; Pezizales; Pyronemataceae.